GAAGGCCUCUGGGCUGUAAACCUCUUUUCUCAAGGAAGAAGAUCUGACGGUACUUGAGGAAUAAGCCACGGCUAAUUCCGUGCCAGCAGCCGCGGUAAUACGGGAGUGGCAAGCGUUAUCCGGAAUCAUUGGGCGUAAAGCGUCCGCAGGCGGCCUUGAAAGUCUGUCGUUAAAGCGUGGAGCUUAACUCCAUUUCAGCGAUGGAAACUACAAGGCUUGAGUGUGGUAGGGGCAGAGGGAAUUCCCGGUGUAGCGGUGAAAUGCGUAGAUAUCGGGAAGAACACCAGUGGCGAAGGCGCUCUGCUGGGCCAUAACUGACGCUCAUGGACGAAAGCCAGGGGAGCG
Molecule: ribosomal RNA, 345 nt
Filed under: uncultured cyanobacterium
Lineage: Bacteria; Bacillati; Cyanobacteriota
Description: bacterial SSU rRNA
Rfam family: Bacterial small subunit ribosomal RNA
Source: RNAcentral